GGAGCGCGACGCUCUCCCCAAGGACGAAGCCAUGCAUGCCCGCUCACCCGGGACGCGGCGGACGGCUCAGGACGACGGUUGCACCCCCCGCGGCGGUCCCUGCUAGCCGGACACCGCUGGCAACCCGGCGCCAAGACGUGCGCGCAAGGGCGGGCGCCCGCGGGCGAGCAGCGUGACGCAGCGACGGCCCGCCCGGGCUUCCGGGGCAUCACCCGGUCGGCGCGGGCGCGGCGCGCCGAGGGCCCGACG
This 249-nucleotide ribosomal RNA is filed under the name Giardia duodenalis. RNAcentral's name for it is "Giardia intestinalis partial small subunit ribosomal RNA". Lineage: Eukaryota; Fornicata; Diplomonadida; Hexamitidae. The record is from RNAcentral.